Molecule: non-coding RNA, 1239 nt
Organism: Myodes glareolus (Bank vole)
Lineage: Eukaryota; Metazoa; Chordata; Mammalia; Rodentia; Cricetidae
Source: RefSeq, a predicted model, not a curated record
AUGGCUGCCGAGAUGGGAAAAGGCUCCUUCAAGUAUGCCUGGGUCUUGGACAAACUGAAAGCUGAGUGUGAGCGUGGUAUCACUAUUGACAUCUCCCUGUGGAAGUUUGAUACCAGCAAGUACUAUGUGACUAUCAUUGAUGCCCCAGGACACAGAGACUUCAUCAAAAACAUGAUUACAGGCACAUCACAGGCUGACUGUGCUGUCCUGAUUGUUGCUGCUGGUGUUGGUGAAUUUGAAGCUGGUAUUUCCAAGAAUGGGCAGACCCGUGAGCAUGUACUUCUGGCUUACACCCUGGGUGUGAAACAGCUAAUUGUUGGUGUCAACAAAAUGGAUUCCACUGAGCCACCCUACAGCCAGAAGAGAUACGAGGAAAUUGUUAAGCAAGUCAGCACCUACAUUAAGAAAAUUGGCUACAACCCUGACACAGUAGCAUUUGUGCCAAUGUCUGGUUGGAAUGGUGACAACAUGCUGAAGCCAAGUGCUAAUAUGCCUUGGUUCAAGGGAUGAAAGAUCACUCACAAAGAUGGUAGUUCCAGUGGGACCACCCUGUUGGAAGCUUUGGACUGUGUCCUGCCACCAACUCAUCCAACUGAUAAGCCUCUGUGACUGCCCCUCCAGGAUGUCUAUAAAAGUGGUGGUAUUGGGACUGUCCCUGUGGGCUGAGUGGAGACCGGUGUUCUAAAACCUGGAAUGGUGGUGACCUUUGUUCCAGUUAACGUGACAACAGAAGUAAAGUCUGUUGAAAUGCAUCAUGAAGCUUUGAGUGAAGCGCUUCUAGGGGACAACGUGGGCUUCAGUGUGAAGAACGUAUCUGUCAAAGACGUUAGAUGUGGCAACGUGGCUGGUGACAGCAAAAAUGACCCACCAAAGGAAACUGCUGACUUCACUGCUCAGGUGAUUAUCCUGAACCACCCAGGCCAAAUUAUUGCUGGCUAUGCUCCUGUACUAGAUUGUCACACAGCUCACAUAGCAUGCAAGUUUGCUGAGCUUAAAGAAAAGCUGGAAGAUGGCCCUAAAUUCUUGAAAUCUGGUGAUUCAGCCAUUGUUGAUAUGGUUCCUGGCAGGCCCAUGUGUGUUGAGACUCUGACUAUCCUCCACUGGGUCAUUUUGCUGUUCGUGACAUGUGGCAGACAGUUGCUGUGGGUCUCAUCAAAGCUGUGGACAAGAAGGCUGCUGGAGCUGGCAAGAUCACCAAGUCUGCCCAGAAAGCUCAGAAGGUUAAAUGAAUAUUACCCC